CUCUGCGUUUGCUUUAGCCGGCAGGCUAGCUUGCGCCGAUGUGGUCCUAAAGACUAAAGACACCACCCAACAUCUCCUCCUCCUACCUUCGGCAGCGACGUUUGUUGGCCGCCGGCCGGCGGACGGCGGCGGAGUGUGGAUAUGUGGAUCAGGUCCCUUCAUUCUGAAUUUCCGAUCCCCUCUACGGCAUCGCAUAAUACAGCGUAGGCAGCUAGCUAGCUAGUACAUCGAUAUAUACUCUCUCUCUCUCUCUCUCUCUGAAGCCAGAGCAAACAGUACUGGAGUAUUUAUCAACCUGCAUACCUGCAAUCAGAGAGAGAAGAGAGAAGAGAGAGCCCUGCGGCGAUGACAGAUCUCGAGUUGCUGUCCAU
This 371-nucleotide long non-coding RNA is filed under the name Oryza brachyantha (malo sina). RNAcentral describes it as "long non-coding RNA (OBRA_LNC000594)". Lineage: Eukaryota; Viridiplantae; Streptophyta; Magnoliopsida; Poales; Poaceae. The record is from RNAcentral.